This is a long non-coding RNA of Sinocyclocheilus anshuiensis, 550 nucleotides long. RefSeq lists it as uncharacterized. The transcript has 3 exons. Lineage: Eukaryota; Metazoa; Chordata; Actinopteri; Cypriniformes; Cyprinidae. The record is from RefSeq and is a predicted model, not a curated record.
GGAGUUUUCCAAUGAAUCAUAGAAUAAAAGUGGAGAGUGAGGACGUGAAGAUUGAAGAAGCAUUCAGAGUGAAAAAAGAAGAUACUGAGGAACAAACAGAUGAUAAAAUCUCAAUAAGAACUACAAUCAACAAAAGAACAUUCAUCGUACCAAAAGGUCUUCAGGUCUGCUUCCUCACAGACUCGGCGUGUUGGGAUAUUGAGCACUACUUUCCAAACGCACAAUGCUGGGUUCAUCCAGACACGACUCUUGUGAGAUCCGUUCAACAACACGUGAAACACUUUGAGAAACUGCACAACUACACAAUAGUGAUUCUCCACAUGGGAACAAACGACAUCACAAGCAGAGCGUCUGCAUCGACUGUCGUCCAGAGAAUGAAAACUCUCAUAUCAAGAAUCUCACAAGUUAAUUCACACAUCCUGUAUUUCGCAAUCAGCGCUAUUUUACCACAAGUGAAAGACGACUCUACAGUCAAAACUACAACCAAACAAUGCAACAGCUUGCUUCAACACUGGUCUUCACAAACAAGAAACAUUCUAUUUCUGAACAC